CUAGGCAGAACUUGCUUCGGUCCGGGCGGUGCGCCGCCCGGUGAAAAGGGAACACGGUGAGGUUUCGCCAUAUGGCGCCAAUUCCGUGACUGCCCCCGCAACUGUAGGCGGCGAGCGAAGCCGGAACAUGUCACUGCCGUGCGUCAGCGCGGUGGGAAGACCCGGCCAAGCGAUGACCCGCAAGUCAGGAGACCUGCCGAGGUGAUCACCCUGUC
RNAcentral lists this non-coding RNA (215 nucleotides) under Roseovarius indicus. Lineage: Bacteria; Pseudomonadati; Pseudomonadota; Alphaproteobacteria; Rhodobacterales; Roseobacteraceae. The record is from RNAcentral.